GAUGAACGCUGGCGGCGUGCCUAAUACAUGCAAGUCGAGCGAACGGACGAGAAGCUUGCUUCUCUGAUGUUAGCGGCGGACGGGUGAGUAACACGUGGAUAACCUACCUAUAAGACUGGGAUAACUUCGGGAAACCGGAGCUAAUACCGGAUGAUAUUUUGAACCGCAUGGUUCAAAAGUGAAAGACGGUCUUGCUGUCACUUAUAGAUGGAUCCGCGCUGCAUUAGCUAGUUGGUAAGGUAACGGCUUACCAAGGCAACGAUGCAUAGCCGACCUGAGAGGGUGAUCGGCCACCCUGGAGCUGAGACACGGUCCAGACUCCUACGGGAGGCAGCAGUAGGGAAUCUUCCGCAAUGGGCGAAAGCCUGACGGAGCAACGCCGCGUGAGUGAUGAAGGUCUUCGGAUCGUAAAACUCUGUUAUUAGGGAAGAACAUAUGUGUAAGUAACUGUGCACAUCGUGACGGUACCUAAUCAGAAAGCCACGGCUAACUACGUG
Molecule: ribosomal RNA, 497 nt
Filed under: uncultured bacterium
Lineage: Bacteria
Description: partial 16S ribosomal RNA
Rfam family: Bacterial small subunit ribosomal RNA
Source: RNAcentral